GUCAAGUGAAUAAGUGCACAUGGUGGAUGCCUUGGCGGCAACAGGCGAUGAAGGACGUAGUAAUCUGCGAUAAGCCUAGGGGAGCUGAUAAACACGCUUUGAUCCUAGGAUUUCCGAAUGGGGAAACCCACCUAAUUUAUUAGGUAUCCUUAACUGAAUACAUAGGUUAAGGAGGCGAACCCGGGGAACUGAAACAUCUAAGUACCCGGAGGAAAAGAAAUCAACCGAGAUUCCCUUAGUAGCGGCGAGCGAACGGGGACCAGGCCUUAAGUUGAUUACGUUUUAGUGGAAUGCUCUGGAAAGUGCAGCCAUAGUGGGUGAUAGCCCCGUACACGAAAAGACGUUUUCAAUGAAAUCGAGUAGGGCGGGACACGUGAAAUCCUGUCUGAACAUGGGGGGCCCACCCUCCAAGCCUAAAUACUAGUUGCCGACCGAUAGUGAACCAGUACCGUGAGGGAAAGGCGAAAAGAACCCCUUUUAGGGGAGUGAAAUAGAACCUGAAACCGUGUGCAUACAAGCAGUAGGAGCUCUUCGUGAGUGACUGCGUACCUUUUGUAUAAUGGGUCAACGACUUACUUUUAGUGGCAAGCUUAACCGUAUAGGGGAGGCGUAGAGAAAUCGAGUCUUAAUAGGGCGUCGAGUCGCUAGGAGUAGACCCGAAACCGGGCGAUCUAUCCAUGGUCAGGUUGAAGGUGGGGUAACACCUACUGGAGGACCGAACCCACUUAUGUUGAAAAAUGAGGGGAUGAACUGUGGAUAGGAGUGAAAGGCUAAUCAAGCUCGGAGAUAGCUGGUUCUCCUCGAAAUCUAUUUAGGUAGAGCCUCGUGUAUAACUGUUGGGGGUAGAGCACUGUUAUGGCUAGGGGGUCAUCCCGACUUACCAACCCAUUGCAAACUCCGAAUACCGACAAGUUCAAGCACGGGAGACAGACAGCGGGUGCUAACGUCCGUUGUCAAGAGGGAAACAACCCAGACCACCAGCUAAGGUCCCUAAAUAUAGCUCAGUGGGAAACGAUGUGAGAAGGCACAGACAGCCAGGAGGUUGGCUUAGAAGCAGCCACCCUUUAAAGAAAGCGUAAUAGCUCACUGGUCGAGUCGGCUCGCGCGGAAGAUGUAACGGGGCUUAAGCUAUAUACCGAAGCUGUGGAUUCAUACUUAUGUAUGAGUGGUAGAGGAGCGUUCUGUAAGCCGUUGAAGGUGUUCUGGAAGGAAUGCUGGAGGUAUCAGAAGUGCGAAUGUUGACGUGAGUAACGAUAAUGCGGGUGAGAAACCCGCACGCCGAAAACCCAAGGUUUCCUGCGCAACGCUAAUCGGCGCAGGGUUAGUCGGUACCUAAGGCGAGGCCGAAAGGCGUAGUCGAUGGAAAACAGGUUAAUAUUCCUGUACCGAACGUAACUGCGAUGGGGGGACGGAGCAGGCUAAAUUAUCCGGGCGUUGGUUGUCCCGGUUCAAGUGUGUAGGCAGAGAACUUAGGAAAAUCCGGGUUCUUAAUGCUGAGACACGAUGACGUAACUCUCUUCGGAGAGCCAAGUAGUUGAUGCCAUACUUCCAGGAAAAGCCCCUAAGCUUCAGGUUACGUUUGACCGUACCCCAAACCGACACAGGUGGGUGGGAUGAGAAUUCUAAGGCGCUUGAGAGAACACUGGUGAAGGAACUAGGCAAAAUGGUACCGUAACUUCGGGAGAAGGUACGCCCCUGACGGUGAAGGAUUUACUCCGUAAGCUGUUGGGGGUUGCAAUAAAAUGGUGGCUGCAACUGUUUACUAAAAACAUAGCACUCUGCAAACUCGCAAGAGGACGUAUAGGGUGUGACGCCUGCCCGGUGCCGGAAGGUUAAUUGAUGGGGUUAUCUUCGGAGAAGCUCUUGAUCGAAGCCCCGGUAAACGGCGGCCGUAACUAUAACGGUCCUAAGGUAGCGAAAUUCCUUGUCGGGUAAGUUCCGACCUGCACGAAUGGCGUAAUGAUGGCCACACUGUCUCCACCAGUGACUCAGUGAAAUCGAAAUAGCUGUUAAGAUGCAGUUUACCCGCGGCUAGACGGAAAGACCCCGUGAACCUUUACUAUAGCUUUGCACUGAACUUUGAGCCUACCUGUGUAGGAUAGGUGGGAGACUUUGAAGCGGUAACGCCAGUUAUCGUGGAGUCAACCUUGAAAUACCACCCUGGUAUGUUUGAAGUUCUAACCUAGACCCGUUAUCCGGGUUGGGGACAGUGUAUGGUGGGUAGUUUGACUGGGGCGGUCUCCUCCUAAAGAGUAACGGAGGAGUACGAAGGUGCACUCAGCGCGGUCGGACAUCGCGCAAUGAGCAUAAUGGUAGAAGUGCGCUUGACUGCGAGACAGACACGUCGAGCAGGUACGAAAGUAGGUCAUAGUGAUCCGGUGGUUCUUAGUGGUAGGGCCAUCGCUCAACGGAUAAAAGGUACUCCGGGGAUAACAGGCUGAUACCGCCCAAGAGUUCAUAUCGACGGCGGUGUUUGGCACCUCGAUGUCGGCUCAUCACAUCCUGGGGCUGAAGCAGGUCCCAAGGGUAUGGCUGUUCGCCAUUUAAAGUGGUACGCGAGCUGGGUUUAGAACGUCGUGAGACAGUUCGGUCCCUAUCUGCCGUGGGCGUUUGAGAAUUGAUGGGAGCUGCUCCUAGUACGAGAGGACCGGAGUGGACGUACCCCUGGUGUUCCGGUUGUUAUGCCAAUAGCAUUGCCGGGUAGCUACGUACGGAACGGAUAACCGCUGAAAGCAUCUAAGCGGGAAGCCGGCCCAAAGAUGAGUUCUCACUGGAACUUUAAGUUCCUUGUAGGUCCGUCGAAGACUACGACGUUGAUAGGCAGGGUGUUGAAGCGCAGUAAUGUGUGAAGCUAACCUGUACUAAUUGACCGUAAGGCUUGACC
Molecule: ribosomal RNA, 2884 nt
Filed under: marine eukaryotic metagenome
Description: Bacterial large subunit ribosomal RNA
Rfam family: Bacterial large subunit ribosomal RNA
Source: RNAcentral